ACAGCCGCGGUGUUUCCCGGGUUACCAGAUGCCACGUGUUUGGGGAGUAAGUGCGGGUGCGCAUCUGGUGCGGAGUAGGAGGGCAGCUUGGCUUGGCUGGAGCUAAGAGCCAGACACACCACUGUGUGGAGGUGGGUGACGUCUUCCCGUGCUAAAAGGUGAAUAAAUAAGCUCCUCACCUCUCGCGGAACACUCGAGAACACAUCAACAGGGGUCCAAGCCGCCCUGCUGGGAGGCUUUUCUUCAAGAGUUCUGGGUGCCAGAGUGGAAGGCAUUUUCCCAUCAACUGGAGAGAGACGAAACAUCUGAGACCAGGAGGCUGUGGAGAAAGCAGCUGUCCCAGGUGCCUCAACUAUCAGAGAAGGGUCAGCGCCACGUGGCUGCCAGCAUCUUUGAGAAAAUCAUUGGCAACCGGACUUCAGAGCUGCAGGCAGAGGUGUGGUUAGAACUGAGAUACGACCUGCCCACCUGGGUCAGGCCUAAAGACAAGAAGUCCUGAGUUCUUGCCACUGAGUAGGCCAGGGUCAUUUGUCCAGAAAACUUUGUGACUGUCUUUGAGUGUCCUAGUCUGGGACCCAUUCAUUGGUGGG
This 590-nucleotide small RNA is filed under the name Pongo abelii (Sumatran orangutan). Its description in RNAcentral is "processed transcript". The record is from RNAcentral. Lineage: Eukaryota; Metazoa; Chordata; Mammalia; Primates; Hominidae.